RNAcentral lists this transfer RNA (86 nucleotides) under Candidatus Wildermuthbacteria bacterium RIFCSPHIGHO2_01_FULL_45_20. Its description in RNAcentral is "tRNA-Leu". It matches the Rfam family "tRNA". Rfam says of the family: Transfer RNA (tRNA) molecules are approximately 80 nucleotides in length. Their secondary structure includes four short double-helical elements and three loops (D, anti-codon, and T loops). The record is from RNAcentral. Lineage: Bacteria; Candidatus Wildermuthiibacteriota.
GCCCGGGUGGCGGAACGGUAGACGCAACAGACUCAAAAUCUGUCGAGGGCAACCUUAUGAGAGUUCGAUUCUCUCCCCGGGCACCA